CUACGGGCGGCAGCAGUCGAGGAUAUUCCCCAAUGGCCGAAAGGCUGAGGGAGCGACGCCGCGUGCUUGAAGAAGCCCUUCGGGGUGUAAAGAGCUUUUAUAGAGGAUGAAUCCCGCUUUACAGCGGGAUGACAGUACUCUAGGAAUAAGGAGACACUAAUCACGUGCCAGCAGUGGCGGUAAUACGUGAUCUCCCAGCGUUAUCCGGAUUUAUUGGGCGUAAAGCGUUCGUAGGCGUUUCGUAAAGUUUUUUGUUAAAUACCCAAGGCUUAACCUCGGGAGUACAAAAAAAACUAACGGAAUAGAGGAUGUUAGGGGCUGGCGGAACGGUCGGUGUAGGGGUGAAAUCCGUUGAUAUCGACCGGAACACCGAAAGCGAAGGCAGCCAGCUGGAGCAUUCCUGACGCUGAGGAACGAAAGCGUGGGUAGCGAAUGGGAUUAGAUACCCGCGUAGUC
RNAcentral lists this ribosomal RNA (456 nucleotides) under uncultured bacterium. RNAcentral's name for it is "partial 16S ribosomal RNA". It matches the Rfam family "Bacterial small subunit ribosomal RNA", at positions 339 to 795 of the family's 1533-position model. The record is from RNAcentral.